GAUGAACGCUGGCGGCGUGCCUAAUACAUGCAAGUCGAGCGAACAGACGAGGAGCUUGCUCCUCUGACGUUAGCGGCGGACGGGUGAGUAACACGUGGAUAACCUACCUAUAAGACUGGGAUAACUUCGGGAAACCGGAGCUAAUACCGGAUAAUAUAUUGAACCGCAUGGUUCAAUAGUGAAAGACGGUUUUGCUGUCACUUAUAGAUGGAUCCGCGCCGCAUUAGCUGGUUGGUAAGGUAACGGCUUACCAAGGCAACGAUGCAUAGCCGACCUGAGAGGGUGAUCGGCCACACUGGAACUGAGACACGGUCCAGACUCCUACGGGAGGCAGCAGUAGGGAAUCUUCCGCAAUGGGCGAAAGCCUGACGGAGCAACGCCGCGUGAAUGAUGAAGGUCUUCGGAUCGUAAAACUCUGUUAUUAGGGAAGAACAAAUGUGUAAGUAACUAUGCACGUCUUGACGGUACCUAACCAGAAAGCCACGGCUAACUACGUG
RNAcentral lists this ribosomal RNA (497 nucleotides) under uncultured bacterium. Its description in RNAcentral is "partial 16S ribosomal RNA". It matches the Rfam family "Bacterial small subunit ribosomal RNA", at positions 28 to 507 of the family's 1533-position model. The record is from RNAcentral.